GGAUGAGAACCUCCGGGGGCAAGAGGUUCGACCCGAGCGAAGCGAGAGAACGUUGCGCCAGCAACGGCCCGCAGUGGCAAGUCAUCCUCUGUCACCGGCAG
RNAcentral lists this small RNA (101 nucleotides) under Salmonella enterica subsp. enterica serovar Bovismorbificans. RNAcentral describes it as "partial RtT sRNA". It matches the Rfam family "RtT RNA", at positions 20 to 130 of the family's 130-position model. Rfam says of the family: This family represents a bacterial cis-regulatory element known as RtT RNA. Lineage: Bacteria; Pseudomonadati; Pseudomonadota; Gammaproteobacteria; Enterobacterales; Enterobacteriaceae. The record is from RNAcentral.